This 237-nucleotide long non-coding RNA is filed under the name Malus domestica (apple). Its description in RNAcentral is "long non-coding RNA (MDOM_LNC012280)". Lineage: Eukaryota; Viridiplantae; Streptophyta; Magnoliopsida; Rosales; Rosaceae. The record is from RNAcentral.
ACUGUCUCAGGUGGAAGACGGCAAUACCAGUUUAGAGCUCCGCCAGAGAGGGUGGAGGGGAAGAGAAGACAUCGUUCUUCGUCGGUGUGCAUCCGAUAUGCCAUGGUGGACUCAAAGAGGUUAAGGUGUUCAAUUGGAUCCUCCCUUCCAGUAUAGAGUUGUAAACCACGCCUUUGUUUUGUCUUCGCUUGAAGGGGGUGUUGAGGAUCCUUCUUGUGAGAGGGCUAGGCCUGGGUU